This 295-nucleotide long non-coding RNA is filed under the name Ananas comosus (pineapple). RNAcentral's name for it is "long non-coding RNA (ACOM_LNC039320)". Lineage: Eukaryota; Viridiplantae; Streptophyta; Magnoliopsida; Poales; Bromeliaceae. The record is from RNAcentral.
AUUCUUUAAUAUUCAAAGUUUAAUUUAUUAUAAUUUUUUACUCGAAUUUUCAGAAUGAUUAUAAUCAAAUCUUAUAAUUCAAUUUAGUUAAUUAAAUAUUAAUAUAUUACUGAUGUAAAAGUAAUAUAACAGUAUUGUGAUUGAUGAUGCGCAUAUAAUUAAGAUGACAUAUUAUUUUUGCAUUAGUGAUGCAUCAAUAUUUGGUCAGCUAAAUUAAAUUUUGAGUCAUAAUUGUAACGGUUCUGAAAGUUUGAGUCAAAAAUUAUGGCAAAUUAAUAUUUGAGGACCACGGUAU